This 454-nucleotide ribosomal RNA is filed under the name uncultured Anoxybacillus sp. RNAcentral describes it as "bacterial SSU rRNA". It matches the Rfam family "Bacterial small subunit ribosomal RNA", at positions 927 to 1382 of the family's 1533-position model. The record is from RNAcentral. Lineage: Bacteria; Bacillati; Bacillota; Bacilli; Caryophanales; Anoxybacillaceae.
AAGCGGUGGAGCAUGUGGUUUAAUUCGAAGCAACGCGAAGAACCUUACCAGGUCUUGACAUCCCCUGACAACCCGAGAGAUCGGCGUCCCCUUCGGGGGACAGGGUGACAGGUGGUGCAUGGUUGUCGUCAGCUCGUGUCGUGAGAUGUUGGGUUAAGUCCCGCAACGAGCGCAACCCUCGACCUUAGUUGCCAGCAUUCAGUUGGGCACUCUAAGGUGACUGCCGGCUAAAAGUCGGAGGAAGGUGGGGAUGGCGUCAAAUCAUCAUGCCCCUUAUGACCUGGGCUACACACGUGCUACAAUGGUUGGUACAACGAGUUGCGAGUCGGUGACGGCGAGCUAAUCUCUUAAAGCCAAUCUCAGUUCGGAUUGUAGGCUGCAACUCGCCUACAUGAAGUCGGAAUCGCUAGUAAUCGCGGAUCAGCACGCCGCGGUGAAUACGUUCCCGGGCCUU